Molecule: ribosomal RNA, 510 nt
Filed under: Drosophila dasycnemia
Lineage: Eukaryota; Metazoa; Arthropoda; Insecta; Diptera; Drosophilidae
Also listed under: 1 other name
Description: partial 16S ribosomal RNA
Rfam family: Bacterial large subunit ribosomal RNA
Source: RNAcentral
GUCUUUUUGAAUUAAAUUUAAAGUCUAACCUGCCCACUGAAAAUUUUAAAUGGCCGCAGUAUUCUAACUGUGCAAAGGUAGCAUAAUCAUUAGUCUUUUAAUUGAAGGCUGGAAUGAAUGGUUGGACGAAAUAUUAACUGUUUCAUUUAAAUUUUUUAUAAAAUUUUAUUUUUUAGUCAAAAAGCUAAAAUAAAUUUAAAAGACGAGAAGACCCUAUAAAUCUUUAUAUUUUAUUUAUUUUAAUUAUAAAGAUUAUUUUUAUUAUAAUAAAUUAAAAUAUUUUAUUGGGGUGAUAUUAAAAUUUAAAAAACUUUUAAUUUUGAAAACCAUUAAUUUAUGAAUAAUUGAUCCAUUAAUAAUGAUUAAAAAUUUAAGUUACUUUAGGGAUAACAGCGUAAUUUUUUUGGAGAGUUCAUAUCGAUAAAAAAGAUUGCGACCUCGAUGUUGGAUUAAGAUAUAAUUUUGGGUGUAGCCGUUCAAAUUUUAAGUCUGUUCGACUUUUAAAUUCUU